RNAcentral lists this long non-coding RNA (3762 nucleotides) under Arabidopsis lyrata. Its description in RNAcentral is "long non-coding RNA (ALYR_LNC002425)". The record is from RNAcentral. Lineage: Eukaryota; Viridiplantae; Streptophyta; Magnoliopsida; Brassicales; Brassicaceae.
GAUCUGGAGGCCACAUUAUCGGAUCAUGGGAUCUCCACACACACAAGCAAACACCACCGAAGAUUCAGAGGUUGCAGCUCCAAAACCUUCCCGAGCGGACCAGGACCCAACGCGAGCUUCUGGAAUCUUCCUGGGCGAGCGUAUUCUUGGUGGAGUCACAAUCAACCGAUGAAACUUUCUUGGUUAAGUGGUACAAGAAGACCUCUGGAAAGAUCAUGAAAACAAAAGGUGUAAUGGUGUUCAGGCUAGACCAUAAAGGAAAUGCUAUUUACACUCAAGACAUUGGAGAUCUCUUCAUUUUCCUCUCACGAGAUGGUAUUUAUUGUAGACCUGCAGCUGAAGAACCCUCCUACAACUAUAGGCCUAACCACGUCCAUGUCGGUGAUAAAGACGGGUUCUUCACUAUCAAUCUGGCAAGUGGCGGAUUAGAAGUUCACAGAGAAUUCUAAUUGAAUAGAAUCUCUUUGACAUUGUUAUGCAUAUGAUGUGGGAUAAUCUUUGCUAUCAUCUCUCUUCCAAUUAUUUUUGUUUAAACUAUAUCCAAUAAGUUUAUGAAUCAUUGUUGUCACCAUUAAAAAGUUGUGUAGCACAGAAAAGUAGAAAACUAAACUAAGAGAGAACCCGUGUUUUCCCUCUUUUGAUUAAUGCCUCAGAUAUAUAACUUUUCUAUUUUUUUUUGUGAAUAUUAAAUCGAUCUUGGAAGGCGGUAACUAGUUGUUGUGUUUCGUAAACUAAGAUUAGAAAGUUGUGGAACUAUAAAUUAAAGUUUUUUGACAAUAAUAAUAGGCUUGCUUCGUAAACUGCAAAGUUGGAAAUUUUAGUGGUAUUUUCGUGUUAAGAGAGCACCACCAAAUGGCGGAGCCAGAAUUUUUGUUUAUAGAGGUCAUAUAUAUUAUUAUUUUUAUUUAAUUACAUAUUAAUAUUAAAUAUUAUAUUUUAUUUUGAUUUAUGAUAUUUUAUAGAAAUAUAUGUCAAAACAAUUUUGAGAAAAAGAACGAAAAAAAACAAGAUAUCCGAUGAUACAAAGAAAAAGAAUCAAUAUGUAAAAAAACUAUUAGAGAAUUGUAAUCAUUUUUUAGGAAAAAACAAAACAAACAUAGAAAGAAAAUUAAUGUUGAAUGAAAAACAUUAAUUUUUAUUACCAUUAAAACAGAGAACCCUACAUUUAAGAGGAGAAACCCCCCCCUUUGGAGAUGCUCUAAGGGGUUCUUGACAAAAUACAUCUAGAUUAACAUUCCUAAUUGUGUCUACAUGGCGUUUAUGCUUGCAUGGCAUGAUUCUAUUCAUUUACUCAAGAUAACUGAUUAAUGGAUUAUUGGAAUAUAAACAGGGCCGGCUCAAUUAAUUUUGAGUCCCGGUACAAAUCUUAAAAAUUGGCCCUUUUUCAUACAAAAAAAAAAAAAUUGGGUCUUUUUCAUGUUAAAAAAACUUAAAAAUUAACCACUUUCAUACUAAAUAAAAUAUUUAGGCUUUUUUUAUAAUAAAGAUAUCUUAAAGUUUUAAAAAUUACAUUUUUUUCUAUACGGAAAAAAAAAUUUAGACCCUUAAAUUUACCCAAAAAAAUUGGACCCGGAACAAUUGCUCCACUUGAACACCCCAAACGCCGGCACUGAAUAUAAAAUAAAGCCAUCAUAUAAAAACAAAGGAAAUUGAAACGGGAACGUAGUUCUAGUAAACGAAACCUAAACCAUCUCUAACAUGCUUACCAAUUACCAUGAACCCGGUCCAGCUUCUUCUUUUGUCUCUCCAUUCCUCUCACUCUCAGUAUUUCUGGCCCUCCAUAUAGCCAACAGCCUCUUCUCCUGUCUCUCGAUCUGACUCAUGAUUCCUGGCGGUCUCUGGUACACAAAAGGUUUUAGUGGUGGGCCUGGUGGCAUAAGCUCAGGCUUAAUUACCUCGUAACAAAAUAAUCAUCCGCGUAUUCGCAUUGAUCAGCCUCAGAUUGAACUGGUACUUAAACUUUCAGCAGCCCAAAAAACUGGUCGAGAGAGUACGAUACAUCGGUGUAAAAGGUUGAGUGGGGGUUAUCUUAAAGCCCAUACUUAAGAAAUAUCUGAUUGGUUAUUGAGAAUCUUCACGUACUUGAAGAAACUUCUUGAUUGUGAUUAUCUUCACGUACGAUCCAUUACUAAACACACCCUAAAUUAGUUAUGGUGUCGUGCCUUUGAAACCAAAAAAACUCUAGAUGUACCCACCCGGCCACCCCUAGUUUCUGCUGUCAUUUACACGUACAUUUAGGAUUUAGAAGAGUUUAAAUUUCCUAAAACAGAAGCUAAGAAUCUGCAGAAUUUAAUAACAUAUAUACGAUUGAUUUAUUUGGUAAACUGAUCAAUAUUGGUUUAGAAAUUUAUCGGUUAACCCAUGGGAAGCUUACGUUAAAGAUUCCUUUGAUUUUUACAUCAAAUAAAUCGGUAUAGUUCUGAUGUUACAAAAAAAAAAUCGGUUUGGGGACGAUACGUCUCCGAGAGAGAGAAUAAUAUGUCUGACCUUACCUAAUGUGGAGACGGGAAACUUGGUGAGCAAGUCCAUUUGCUCUGUAUUAAUAAUGAAGCGUCUAAAAGGUGAUCAUCACAACGGUUCUUCAAUUAGGGUUUUUUUUUUUUUUAAACCCAAAAUCUCUUGCUUUUCGAUAAGAUCGAUCAUUAUUAAUCAUUAUGUCUCUGCUCCUCAACAAGCCUUCGAUGUUGUGCCUAGGCAAACCUACGUCGAUGAGGUCAUCUCUUUUUCUCUCUAGUGGCUUCCCAUCUUCCUCACUGCGAACCCUUCCAUGUUCCAUCCACGGUUGUGGACUGAAGGUUAGUAAUGUUCCUAAAUCUCGCCACACUUCUUUGGAAAAGAAGGUGCCUGUGGGUAGACAUAAAAUAGAUUGGCUAGCAUACCUUGGCUGGUUAGCUACUUACAGUGACGACGGAAUUUUGCGUUUCAUUGAUUCUAUGUGGGAUUCAGGAGAACCGAAACACUUUUCGUCGCCUCCUUUUGUAACUUUACCUCGUUGCCAAACUCAAAUUGUCACCAACGUGGUAGCAUCUUCUCCUCUUGACGACGAGGACUGUGUUGUGGCUGUCAAGUUUUUGGGACCUCAACUCAGCUUUUUCAGACCUGCUCAAAGUAAAUUUGGGUGGACCAACGUUAGAAUCGAAAACCCUUGCUUCUACUCCUCCAAAGUCAUGUUUUCCAAGAAAGAUGGCAUGUUUCGUAUUCCUGGAUCUGGAGGCCACAUUAUCGGAUCAUGGGAUCUCCACACACACAAGCAAACACCACCGAAGAUUCAGAGGUUGCAGCUCCAAAACCUUCCCGAGCGGACCAGGACCCAACGCGAGCUUCUGGAAUCUUCCUGGGCGAGCGUAUUCUUGGUGGAGUCACAAUCAACCGAUGAAACUUUCUUGGUUAAGUGGUACAAGAAGACCUCUGGAAAGAUCAUGAAAACAAAAGGUGUAAUGGUGUUCAGGCUAGACCAUAAAGGAAACGCUAUUUACACUCAAGACAUUCGAGAUCUCUUCAUUUUCCUCUCACGAGAUGGUAUUUCUUGUGAACCUGCAGCUGAAGAACCCUCCGACAACUAUAGGCCUAACCACGUCCAUGUCGGUGAUAAAGACGGGUUCUUCACUAUCAAUCUGGCAAGUGGCGGAUUAGAAGUUCACAGAGAAUUCUAAUUGAAUAGAAUCUCUUUGACAUUGUUAUGCAUAUGAUGUGGGAUAAUCUUUGCUAUCAUCUCUCUUCCAAUUAUUUUUGUUUAAACUAUAUCCAAUAAGUUUAUGAAUC